This is a non-coding RNA of Prunus mume (Japanese apricot), 3650 nucleotides long. The record is from RefSeq and is a predicted model, not a curated record. Lineage: Eukaryota; Viridiplantae; Streptophyta; Magnoliopsida; Rosales; Rosaceae.
UUGUGUGGCUGAGUAAGGGUUAAUAAUUUUCAUGACUAAUGAUUUGAAUAAAGUAGAGAAUAAAGCAUGGAAAAACUGAAAACCGUGCCUAAAACCCUCCAUCAUUUCCAGUAAGGCACGAACCAACACAAAGGCAUUGCCAACUAAAGACUAUAUACAUAUACAUUUCAUUGACUACACCGUUCUUUUUUUUUUGUACCCCUCUUUUGCCAUCUAAAAUCACUCGCAAUCUCACUCCUCACUCUAUCGACCUUAUCUCGUUCUCUCUCUCAACUCUCGAUCCACCUCCUCCCUCCUCUCUCUCAAUCUCACUCAGAUCCUCUUCUCUCUCAGAUCUCUCUGCCUCUCUGGGCUUUAAUCAAAGUUUAGGUCAUCAGGGGAUUCUAUUGUCCAUGUAGUGGUUGAUGCCAAGUAACUCAUCCGUAUAUUACAUAAUGGCUCUGUGGAUGUGCUUAAAAUAGGAUGCGUUGGAGAAACUUGAGUAGAGGGAGCGGGAUGCAGGCCGGAAGAUGAUGAAUGAACAACCAUGAAGGAGCAAGAAAUGCUGCAGAGUUUUUCUUGUAGGUGGUAGUGUAACAAGUUUGUGUGCAAAUAAGGGUUUUUAACUUGACUCUUGCAAGCAUAAUAUUGCCCUCGCCGACUGCCAUGAGUGGAUUCUUCUGUCCUGGGGGUCCAAUCAAACCCACAACUUUCGAUCUUAUUGUCAUUGGAACAGGCAUCCCUGGAUCAGUAAUUGCCGCCGCAGCUUCUGCUGUUGGAAAAACUGUCCUCCACCUUGACCCCAACCCAUUUUAUGGCAGCCACUUCGCCUCUCUCCCCCCAAAUGACCUCACCUCCUUCCUCAAUUCCCAUUCUACAGAUCACAUCACCACUGCCACCAUUAACACCACCUCUAUUGAUUCUAGUCUCGACCAUGAUUACAUUGCUAUAGACCUGAAACCCCGGUUGUUAUACUCUAAUAUUGAGACUGCCGCCUAUGCCCCUGAAAUCCUUGCAAAACAUUGCCCGAGAGAAUUCACUAUCGACCUUGGAGGUCCUAGGUUGCUAUUCCCUGCUGACAAAGCCACUGACCUUUUGAUGAAAUCCGGACUAAAUUUAUAUGUUGAAUGUGGGUUCUUGGAAUUCAAGAACAUCAGUGAAAUUUUCGUUUGUGAUGAGAGUGGGCAGUUAAGGAAUAUUCCACACUCGCGAAUAGAAAUGUUUAAAGACAGGAGCCUAAGCCUUAAAGAGAAGAGUAUGUUAGCAAGGUUCUUCAAGUUCCUUGAGCAGUACUUGGAAGCCUCUCGUGGUAUUGGCGGAGACCAAGAAGGGAGCCACAAUAGUGAAAGUUCCAAGAUUUCAGAGGAGGACUUGGAGAGUCCCUUUAUUGACUUCAUAAAUAGAAUGCAGUUGCCACCCAAAAUAAAAUUGAUUAUUCACUGCAUUGCCAUGGUAGAUUGUGGUCAAGACGACUUGGAAGUUUGUAAAAGUAAACUUAAGACAAGAGAUGGGUUAGAGCGUUUAGCCCUCUACCACAGUUCAAGGUCGUCAAAUGCCCAUGGAGCUUGGAUUUAUCCUGAACAUGGUCAUGGGGAUUUAUCAGCUGCCUUUGCCCGCCGAGCCGCUGUUAAAGGUUGCAUUACUGCUUUGCAUACGCCAGUUAAUGCUGUGCUUAUGGAUAAGGAUAGUGGACAAUAUAAGGGUGUUAGAUUAGCAUCAGGUCAAGCUUUGUUUAGCCAUCACCUUGUUUUGGAUCCAACCUUCACCGUUACAUUGGCACCAACUUCAUCUCCACCAAACCUUCUAAGAGAAGGUCUUCAAGUUUUGAGUCUGAAAGAUGAUAAAGGAAAGGUGGCUAGGGGAAUAUGUAUUACAGCCAGUUCCUUGAAGCCAGAUGUAUCAAAUUGUGUGCUUGUAUGUCCUCCCAGAUCUUUGUGCCCUGAACAGGAUACCUCAAUCUGGAUUAUCCAGAUAUGUGGCAGUUUGGAAACGGGUGUUUGUCCAAAGGGCAUAAUAUGCUUAGAUAUAGGGAUCCUCCAAUGCUGUAGCGGUGAUAUCUUUGUGAACAGGUGUCAAGUUUUUAUAGCUCAAGUUGGUUGAAAAUGAAUGAAUGUGCAAAGCCUUUGGUCAUGAGAUGGAACAGCUAAGUAGAUGGUCUUUAUUCCUAGAAAUAAGUGAACUUAGGCAGAAACUAUUUAUUGAUGGUUUUGGACCCUUAUACACUCAGUUAUUACUGAUACAAUCUUUCAGGAUUGUUUACAUAAACAGACUUUGACUUCUAUACACCAGAUCAUGACCGUUGUCUAUUUUGAUACUUUCAUAUAUAUUAGAUACACUUAUAACAAAAUUUUAAGCUGCCCACACUUCUUUACAUUACCUUCUCGUCUUUAGGUUUCUGCUGUACUUUUCUGCUCUAUGUGAUGAUGCUGAGCAAGGAAAAAGGUUGCUACAAGCAGUCAAGAAUGCUCUUCUCACACUUCCUAUGUCUGGAAAUCCUGAAAGAGCUUCCACAGUUCAAAGUGAAAAAGCAGAAGCAAAACCCACCUUACUUUGGAGCACGUUGUAUAUUCAGGAGCUGACUAUAGAUCAACACGAAUAUCUUAUUUCAACUCCCAUGCCAGAUGGAAAUCUGUGGUACAAUGAUCUGUUAGAUGCAACUGUGCUGCUUUUCCAGAAGUUGUAUCCAAAUGAAGAAUUCUUUCCCGAGACACCUGGGAAUUUGGAGGAUGACAUUCUGAUUAAUCUAGAGGACUAAUAGUGGUAUGCUGGACUCAAGUGUGUCUGUACUGUGCAUCCCAACAUGUUACUGAAAUUAUUAACACAUGUGGCCUUGGUCAUUGCUGAAGAGGAUAGGCACAAGUGAUGCUUGUAUGUGUUCCAUUGUUCACCACUUAUUGUGAUAGAGGAUGAGGCUGGUACUAAAUUUCUUCAAAACAAGUUUCCAAACUAAAGUCUUUAUCAUGAGUAAUGAUUAGAAAACCUUAAACUCUCUGGUUAGCUACUAUACUUUCUUGCUAUGCACAAAUCAGGAAUAGGAGCAGAAGCCAGACAUUUGUGCUCGUAGUUUAAGAGACCAGAUCCUCUUACUUUAAACUCUGAGUGAGCUGGGCUUGAUUUUGUACUUUGUUUUUUCUCACUGUCUUGCUGGAUUCAAUUUUCUAGAUUAUUUGUAUGCAAGAACCUCCACUUGGGGUGUGUUCUUACUGUUAAUCUUUUGUUCUUGCCCUGUUGUAAUGAAUUUCUGCUUGUUCGGAAAAAAGAAGAAGAAAAGAAUGAGGGGAUCUGUGUUCGUUCUUUUGCAGACGCACGGUUCAAGUUAUUAAAGAAAAUGGCAAUUGAUGCAUGUAUUUCUUUCAGAGUUGGUCCCCUGGUCUUUGUCAGUAGCCUUGCUAGCUACGAAGACAAAAACCACAAAUGGCUGAGAAAAAGAAAAAUGUUCCGCGAGUAUGCUGACCAAGGAAAGACAAUUUUGGGUUGUUCAAACAUUUAGCCACAAGGGCCCACAAAAGAUUAGAUUUUUUUGUCUUGUAACAAAAACCUAUCCAUUUCUUUUAUUCAACUAUGAUGUGGAGCCAUCAAUUUAUAGGCUAAAGUAAAUACUGAAUUUACAACAUAUUGUAUGGUUACAAGCAUUAAAUACUAAAUUUACAAUAUAUUGUGAAGGUUACACC